Small nucleolar RNA from Electrophorus electricus (electric eel), 136 nucleotides. Lineage: Eukaryota; Metazoa; Chordata; Actinopteri; Gymnotiformes; Gymnotidae. The record is from Ensembl.
CGCAGCCCUGUCAAAUUCAGUGGCUCACCUUCAGUGGAGCUCACUGGCCAAAGUGGUUGCUACAGUGAGGAGGUAGUUCAUGGGCCCUGAUAUCUAAUACUGUAGAUGUUGGGGAUAAAUAGGGCUAUCUACACUC